RNAcentral lists this long non-coding RNA (793 nucleotides) under Chinchilla lanigera (long-tailed chinchilla). Its description in RNAcentral is "lncRNA (ENSCLAG00000027756.1)". Lineage: Eukaryota; Metazoa; Chordata; Mammalia; Rodentia; Chinchillidae. The record is from RNAcentral.
UGCAUAUUCUUGUUUGGCUUCAUGAAGCCCUAACUGGAUCCCACUGUGUGGUCAGUUGUAUCUUCUAUAUUUGGCUUUGUCCUUGUCAUUUUAAUUGUGGAUUAUCACAUAAUAAGAGCUAGAUGUUAUUAACUCAGUAGGCUCAAAUAUACUCAGUAGCAGCAGGCCUUUGCCAGGCUGUGAAGGCACUUACCGUACUACCUCAAGGCAGGAAAGGUUAGUUGCCUGGGAUACCUGAUUGUUUCAUGCCCUGAAUGGAGUUUGGAUGGAAUGUGAGGGAGUGACCCUAUUGGUUUCCUGUGGCAUAUGUCACACUAGACUUUCACAGGAAAGACCCAGCAGUCUCACCUGUCUUCCCCAGGUCCUGCAACUGUGCUUUAUCAGGAGCUCUCACUUCUGGCUGCUGCUCACCUUUAACAAGCUUCUAAGUUGGGAAGAACAGACAGUCCUUACCUGGACCAGUCAGUCACAUGUUGGAGGUCACACUGUAAAGAAAAGUGUACAGAAUCUGUUUCACCACUCCCCUUGCCUCAUAGCUAUCUGGGUGAGACCAAUACCAGCAGGCAUGGUAGGAAACCACGGAAGAAAAGCAAAGCCCUGUCCAUCUACACCACCUGUCCUGAGAAAUGUGACUACACUCGCAUCUGCCCGGCCCAUUCAGAGAAGCACAACCACACUAUCUCUGCCUCCAAAUUCCUCAAGGCAGCAAACUCCUCUCCUCCCCUUGAAAUCCUUUGUUCUACCCUCACUCGAUGAACUCAGCCUGCCUCCAUGGGAGUAAUUAAACAGCCAU